UUCAGAGUAGGUGUCCGGGCGUUAAGUGCCGGAGGGACGGGGAGUUGCCCUUCGGACGAAAACAAAGCUGUUGCGGUCCGGAUUCCGCAUCCCGCUGGU
This is a regulatory RNA element of 99 nucleotides. It matches the Rfam family "THF (Tetrahydrofolate) riboswitch aptamer". From Rfam's summary of the family: THF riboswitch presents a pseudoknot that joins P1-P2 and the loop of P3 and two THF binding. The record is from Rfam.